RNAcentral lists this ribosomal RNA (261 nucleotides) under uncultured prokaryote. RNAcentral describes it as "partial 16S ribosomal RNA". It matches the Rfam family "Bacterial small subunit ribosomal RNA", at positions 524 to 784 of the family's 1533-position model. The record is from RNAcentral.
UACGUAGGUGGCAAGCGUUAUCCAGAAUUAUUGGGCGUAAAGAGCGCGCAGGUGGUUGAUUAAGUCUGAUGUGAAAGCCCACGGCUUAACCGUGGAGGGUCAUUGGAAACUGGUCGACUUGAGUGCAGAAGAGGGAAGUGGAAUUCCAUGUGUAGCGGUGAAAUGCGUAGAGAUAUGGAGGAACACCAGUGGCGAAGGCGGCUUCCUGGUCUGUAACUGACACUGAGGCGCGAAAGCGUGGGGAGCAAACAGGAUUAGAUA